UACAGAGGUCCCAAGCGUUGUUCGGAUUCACUAGGCGUAAAGGGUGCGUAGGCGGUCGGGUAAGUCUGACGUGAAAUCUUCAAGCUCAACUUGGAAACUGCGUCCGAUACUAUUCGGCUAGAGGAAUGGAGGGGAGACUGGAAUACUUGGUGUAGCAGUGAAAUGCGUAGAUAUCAAGUGGAACACCAGUGGCGAAGGCGAGUCUCUGGACAUUUCCUGACGCUGAGGCACGAAAGCCAGGGGAGCAAACGGG
This 253-nucleotide ribosomal RNA is filed under the name uncultured bacterium. RNAcentral describes it as "partial 16S ribosomal RNA". It matches the Rfam family "Bacterial small subunit ribosomal RNA", at positions 524 to 776 of the family's 1533-position model. The record is from RNAcentral.